CCUUAUUAUAAUGUGCAACAGAUAUAAGCACCAAAUAGAAACACCACAUGAAUAGGUGGGCUCAUUGGUGUGCUAGAGUUUGUAAUUCUUAUUCUCUAAUAAUAUCUUGGUAGCCGCUCAGCGCUCCCGAGGGACGUAGGCACAAUUAGCUUAACUCUGUUACCAAAUUCUCUUGUUCUUCUCUUUUAUUUAUUCUAUGUCUUUAUUUAAUUGUUUGUGGCUAACACUGCGCAACGAUUGUUUCCGCUGCACUAACAUAACGCAUCUAUUUAUAGG
This 276-nucleotide long non-coding RNA is filed under the name Lupinus angustifolius (narrow-leaved blue lupine). RNAcentral's name for it is "long non-coding RNA (LANG_LNC000744)". The record is from RNAcentral. Lineage: Eukaryota; Viridiplantae; Streptophyta; Magnoliopsida; Fabales; Fabaceae.